RNAcentral lists this ribosomal RNA (253 nucleotides) under uncultured bacterium. RNAcentral describes it as "partial 16S ribosomal RNA". It matches the Rfam family "Bacterial small subunit ribosomal RNA", at positions 524 to 776 of the family's 1533-position model. The record is from RNAcentral.
UACGGAGGGUGCAAACGUUGCUCGGAAUUAUUGGGCGUAAAGCGCACGUAGGCGGACCAUCAAGUCGGAUGUGAAAUCCCUCGGCUUAACCGAGGACGUGCAUUCGAUACUGAUGGCCUUGAGUACGAAAGAGGAUCGCGGAAUUCCCGGUGUAGAGGUGAGAUUCGUAGAUAUCGGGAGGAACACCAAUGGCGAAGGCAGCUCUCUGGGACGGUACUGACGCUGAGACGCGAAAGCGUGGGGAGCGAACAGG